UACGUAGGGUGCAAGCGUUGUCCGGAAUUAUUGGGCGUAAAGAGCUCGUAGGCGGUGUGUCGCGUCUGCUGUGAAAACUCAGGGCUCAACUCUGAGCUUGCAGUGGGUACGGGCACACUUGAGUGCUGUAGGGGAGACUGGAAUUCCUGGUGUAGCGGUGAAAUGCGCAGAUAUCAGGAGGAACACCAGUGGCGAAGGCGGGUCUCUGGGCAGUUACUGACGCUGAGGAGCGAAAGCAUGGGGAGCGAACAGG
RNAcentral lists this ribosomal RNA (253 nucleotides) under uncultured bacterium. Its description in RNAcentral is "partial 16S ribosomal RNA". It matches the Rfam family "Bacterial small subunit ribosomal RNA", at positions 524 to 776 of the family's 1533-position model. The record is from RNAcentral.